AUUGAACGCUGGCGGAAUGCUUUACACAUGCAAGUCGAACGGCAGCACGGGGGCAACCCUGGUGGCGAGUGGCGAACGGGUGAGUAAUACAUCGGAACGUGCCCAGUCGUGGGGGAUAACGUAGCGAAAGCUACGCUAAUACCGCAUACGAUCUACGGAUGAAAGCGGGGGAUCGCAAGACCUCGCGCGAUUGGAGCGGCCGAUGGCAGAUUAGGUAGUUGGUGGGGUAAAGGCUCACCAAGCCUUCGAUCUGUAGCUGGUCUGAGAGGACGACCAGCCACACUGGGACUGAGACACGGCCCAGACUCCUGCGGGAGGCAGCAGUGGGGAAUUUUGGACAAUGGGCGAAAGCCUGAUCCAGCCAUUCCGCGUGCAGGAUGAAGGCCCUCGGGUUGUAAACUGCUUUUGUACGGAACGAAACGGCCUUUUCUAAUACAGAGGGCUAAUGACGGUACCGUAAGAAUAAGCACCGGCUAACUACGUGCCAGCAGCCGCGGUAAAGUA
Molecule: ribosomal RNA, 504 nt
Filed under: uncultured bacterium
Lineage: Bacteria
Description: bacterial SSU rRNA
Rfam family: Bacterial small subunit ribosomal RNA
Source: RNAcentral